CUACGGGCGGCUCCAGUGAGGAAUUUUGCGCAAUGGGGGAAACCCUGACGCAGCAACGCCGCGUGAGCGAAGAAGGCCUUCGGGUCGUAAAGCUCUGUCAAGUGGGAAAAAAAUUCUUUGAUGAACAGUCAAAGGACUUGAUGGUACCACUGGAGGAAGCACCGGCUAACUCCGUGCCAGCAGCCGCGGUAAUACGGAGGGUGCAAGCGUUGUUCGGAAUUACUGGGCGUAAAGAGCGUGUAGGCGGUUUGACAAGUCAGAUGUGAAAGCCCCGGGCUCAACCCGGGAAGUGCAUUUGAAACUGGUUCACUAGAGUAUGGGAGAGGAGAUUGGAAUUCCUGGUGUAGAGGUGAAAUUCGUAGAUAUCAGGAGGAACACCCGUGGCGAAGGCGAUUCUCUGGACCAAUACUGACGCUGAGACGCGAAAGCGUGGGGAGCAAACAGGAUUAGAUACCCGUGUAGUC
Molecule: ribosomal RNA, 464 nt
Filed under: uncultured bacterium
Lineage: Bacteria
Description: partial 16S ribosomal RNA
Rfam family: Bacterial small subunit ribosomal RNA
Source: RNAcentral